This 497-nucleotide ribosomal RNA is filed under the name uncultured bacterium. Its description in RNAcentral is "partial 16S ribosomal RNA". It matches the Rfam family "Bacterial small subunit ribosomal RNA", at positions 28 to 507 of the family's 1533-position model. The record is from RNAcentral.
GAUGAACGCUGGCGGCGUGCCUAAUACAUGCAAGUCGAGCGAACAGACGAGGAGCUUGCUCCUCUGACGUUAGCGGCGGACGGGUGAGUAACACGUGGAUAACCUACCUAUAAGACCGGGAUAACUUCGGGAAACCGGAGCUAAUAUCGGAUAAUAUAUUGAACCGCAUGGUUCAAUAGUGAAAGACGGUUUUGCUGUCACUUAUAGAUGGAUCCGCGCCGCAUUAGCUAGUUGGUAAGGUAACGGCUUACCAAGGCAACGAUGCGUAGCCGACCUGAGAGGGUGAUCGGCCACACUGGAACUGAGACACGGUCCAGACUCCUACGGGAGGCAGCAGUAGGGAAUCUUCCGCAAUGGGCGAAAGCCUGACGGAGCAACGCCGCGUGAGUGAUGAAGGUCUUCGGAUCGUAAAACUCUGUUAUUAGGGAAGAACAAAUGUGUAAGUAACUAUGCACGUCUUGACGGUACCUAAUCAGAAAGCCACGGCUAACUACGUG